Molecule: ribosomal RNA, 568 nt
Filed under: Bacillus amyloliquefaciens
Lineage: Bacteria; Bacillati; Bacillota; Bacilli; Caryophanales; Bacillaceae
Description: bacterial SSU rRNA
Rfam family: Bacterial small subunit ribosomal RNA
Source: RNAcentral
GUUUGAACCGCAUGGUUCAGACAUAAAAGGUGGCUUCGGCUACCACUUACAGAUGGACCCGCGGCGCAUUAGCUAGUUGGUGAGGUAACGGCUCACCAAGGCGACGAUGCGUAGCCGACCUGAGAGGGUGAUCGGCCACACUGGGACUGAGACACGGCCCAGACUCCUACGGGAGGCAGCAGUAGGGAAUCUUCCGCAAUGGACGAAAGUCUGACGGAGCAACGCCGCGUGAGUGAUGAAGGUUUUCGGAUCGUAAAGCUCUGUUGUUAGGGAAGAACAAGUGCCGUUCAAAUAGGGCGGCACCUUGACGGUACCUAACCAGAAAGCCACGGCUAACUACGUGCCAGCAGCCGCGGUAAUACGUAGGUGGCAAGCGUUGUCCGGAAUUAUUGGGCGUAAAGGGCUCGCAGGCGGUUUCUUAAGUCUGAUGUGAAAGCCCCCGGCUCAACCGGGGAGGGUCAUUGGAAACUGGGGAACUUGAGUGCAGAAGAGGAGAGUGGAAUUCCACGUGUAGCGGUGAAAUGCGUAGAGAUGUGGAGGAACACCAGUGGCGAAGGCGACUCUCUGG